RNAcentral lists this ribosomal RNA (253 nucleotides) under uncultured bacterium. RNAcentral describes it as "partial 16S ribosomal RNA". It matches the Rfam family "Bacterial small subunit ribosomal RNA", at positions 524 to 776 of the family's 1533-position model. The record is from RNAcentral.
UACGAAGGGGGCUAGCGUUGCUCGGAAUUACUGGGCGUAAAGGGCGCGUAGGCGGAUAUUUAAGUUGGGGGUGAAAUCCCGGGGCUCAACCUCGGAAUUGCCUUCAAAACUGGAUAUCUUGAGUUCGGGAGAGGCGAGUGGAACUCCUGGUGUAGCGGUGGAAUGCGCAGAUAUCAGGAAGAACACCAACGGCGAAGGCAGCUCGCUGGGACGGUACUGACGCUGAGACGCGAAAGCGUGGGGAGCGAACAGG